Molecule: ribosomal RNA, 749 nt
Filed under: Cladosporium allicinum
Lineage: Eukaryota; Fungi; Ascomycota; Dothideomycetes; Cladosporiales; Cladosporiaceae
Description: eukaryotic LSU rRNA
Rfam family: Eukaryotic large subunit ribosomal RNA
Source: RNAcentral
AAGCAGCAAUAGCUCAAAUUUGAAAUCUGGCGUCUUCGACGUCCGAGUUGUAAUUUGUAGAGGAUGCUUCUGAGUGGCCACCGACCUAAGUUCCUUGGAACAGGACGUCAUAGAGGGUGAGAAUCCCGUAUGCGGUCGGAAAGGCGCUCUAUACGUAGCUCCUUCGACGAGUCGAGUUGUUUGGGAAUGCAGCUCUAAAUGGGAGGUAAAUUUCUUCUAAAGCUAAAUAUUGGCCAGAGACCGAUAGCGCACAAGUAGAGUGAUCGAAAGAUGAAAAGCACUUUGGAAAGAGAGUUAAAAAGCACGUGAAAUUGUUAAAAGGGAAGGGAUUGCAACCAGACUUGCUCGCGGUGUUCCGCCGGUCUUCUGACCGGUCUACUCGCCGCGUUGCAGGCCAGCAUCGUCUGGUGCCGCUGGAUAAGACUUGAGGAAUGUAGCUCCCUCGGGAGUGUUAUAGCCUCUUGUGAUGCAGCGAGCGCCGGGCGAGGUCCGCGCUUCGGCUAGGAUGCUGGCGUAAUGGUCGUAAUCCGCCCGUCUUGAAACACGGACCAAGGAGUCUAACAUCUAUGCGAGUGUUCGGGUGUCAAACCCCUACGCGUAAUGAAAGUGAACGGAGGUGAGAACCGCAAGGUGCAUCAUCGACCGAUCCUGAUGUCUUCGGAUGGAUUUGAGUAAGAGCAUAGCUGUUGGGACCCGAAAGAUGGUGAACUAUGCCUGAAUAGGGUGAAGCCAGAGGAAACUCUGGUGGA